CCUACGGGUGGCAGCAGUGAGGAAUAUUGGUCAAUGGACGAGAGUCUGAACCAGCCAAGUAGCGUGAAGGAUGACUGCUCUAUGGGUUGUAAACUUCUUUUAUAAAGGAAUAAAACGAGCCACGUGUGCAUAUUUGCAUGUACUCUAUGAAUAAGGAUCGGCUAACUCCGUGCCAGCAGCCGCGGUAAUACGGAGGAUCCAAGCGUUAUCCGGAUUUACUGGGUGUAAAGGGUGCGUAGACGGUUCUUCAAGUCUGGGGUGAAAUGCCGUAGCUUAACUGUGGAACUGCUUUUGAAACUGGAGGACUAGAGUGCGGUUGGGGUAAGCGGAAUGCGUAGUGUAGCGGUGAAAUGCGUAGAUAUUACGAAGAACACCGGUGGCGAAGGCAGCUUACUAGGCCGUAACUGACGUUGAGGCUCGAAAGCGUGGGGAGCAAACAGGAUUAGAUACCCUUGUAGUC
Molecule: ribosomal RNA, 460 nt
Filed under: uncultured bacterium
Lineage: Bacteria
Description: partial 16S ribosomal RNA
Rfam family: Bacterial small subunit ribosomal RNA
Source: RNAcentral